AGGGGCCUUUGUCACCAGGGUGCAUACUUACAAACAGUGCAGUUCUUGGGACCGAGGUAAGCAGGGCUUACCUGCCAUGGCAGAAAGGCCAGGAUCUGGGGCUCUAGGAGUUUGGGAAUUGGGCAGAGUGCCCAAGAAAGCUGGCAGGCGUAUCCUAUGGGACAUCAUCCCUGGCACCAUUGUCAUUGUUGGUGCCUGUGUCCCAAGUAACUAGUGAGAAGCUGAGGCUGCAGCAAGAAACACCGUUCCCAGGUGGCAAGGUAUGGACCAGAGAUGCCCUCGGCCCACCACACCUGCAACCCAGAAGCCCAGAUGGAAUGCAGCUGACGAAGGUGAUGCUCGAGGCUCACGUUUGGGGCCCCACAGCUGGAGCCGGUAUAGUGACUGGGACAACAUCAAGGGGUGGAUGAGGGACCUGUCCUCCCGCAACACUGCCUUCCCAUGCUGUUCCCCUGCCAGCUCCUUAACACUGCUGACCAAUACGGCAUUCAGGGAAGUUGGAGGACAGCACCCACAGGGUGGCCAGCCUCAGGCCCCCACCUGCAUCCUCUAGUCUCUGGGGACCCCUAGGGGGAAGAAGUCUACCCUGCUUGUGAGUCCCGUCUCAGUGUGGAGAAAAUGGCUGCCCACGUGCCAGGAAAGCAGGGCCCAGGACCUGGAGGUGCCCACUGUGUUUAUGUUGGGGAUGGGGGGGCAGUGCUGGCUGCCUCUGUCCUGUGUGUGACCCUGCCCUCGAAGGGUCCUGUCCUGUCAGUCCCGAGGGAGCCACAACCAAAGCUGCGGAGAGAAGGUGGGGAAGGGUCCAGAAUGGCCGUGGGGCACAGCAUGGCGGACUGUUCAGUCUCUGCUGGGUCUUUCCUAGGGACCUGGAAGGCCAGUGUUGCUUCCCCCUCACUCCCUUUCACUGCAGGCAGCCUCUCUGCUUCCCCAAUGCCUUAUGCCUGGGCACACUGCCACAGAAUAUGCAAUAUGUGUGGGUGACCAUGUCCUCACGCCCACACCCCCACCCUGGGCAGCCCCUGGACUCCAAAGGCCGUGGCUGCCACAGCCUCCCCUCAGCUCUUCCUGCCUAUCUGUCUUCACACUGAGAAUGGCGCCCAAUAAAUGCUAUCCACGGAG
Molecule: long non-coding RNA, 1119 nt
Filed under: Macaca fascicularis (crab-eating macaque)
Lineage: Eukaryota; Metazoa; Chordata; Mammalia; Primates; Cercopithecidae
Description: lncRNA (ENSMFAG00000048175.1)
Source: RNAcentral